CGCGACGCGCACAUUCAGCAUGAACGAGGCCGCCGGGGUGCAAACACCGUGAGUAAAGUGGCGACCGGGUGAGUAACACGUGACUAACCUGCCCUGAAGUGGGGAAUAACCUCGGGAAACCGGGGCUAAUACCGCAUAACGUCCGCGGGUGCAACUCCUGCGGACCAAAGGAGCAAUUCGCUUUAGGAGGGGGUCGCGGCUGAUUAGCUAGUUGGCGGGGUAACGGCCCACCAAGGCGAUGAUCCGUAGCUGGUCUGAGAGGAUGAUCAGCCACACUGGGACUGAGACACGGCCCAGACUCCUACGGGAGGCAGCAGUGGGGAAUAUUGGACAAUGGGCGCAAGCCUGAUCCAGCGAUGGCGGGUGAGUGAUGAAGGCCUUAGGGUUGUAAAGCUCUUUCGGCGGGGACGAUGAUGACGGUACCCGCAGAAGAAGCCCGGCUACUUCGUG
Molecule: ribosomal RNA, 450 nt
Filed under: uncultured bacterium
Lineage: Bacteria
Description: bacterial SSU rRNA
Rfam family: Bacterial small subunit ribosomal RNA
Source: RNAcentral